AUGCAAGUCGAACGGGCCUGCUCUGGUUUUUYUGGGGUGGGUGAGUGGCGAACGGGUGAGUAACACGUGAGUAACCUGCCCUCUUCUUGGGGAUAACGGUCUGAAAGGGCUGCUAAUACCGGAUGUUCACUGUCUGUCGCAUGGUGGGUGGUGGAAAGAGGCACUGUUGUGGUGUUUUGGUGGGGGAUGGGCUCGCGGCUUAUCAGCUUGUUGGUGGGGUGAUGGCUUACCAAGGCUUUGACGGGUAGCCGGCCUGAGAGGGUGACCGGUCACAUUGGGACUGAGAUACGGCCCAGACUCCUGCGGGAGGCAGCAGUGGGGAAUUUUGCACAAUGGACGGAAGUCUGAUGCAGCGACGCCGCGUGAGGGAUGGAGGCCUUCGGGUUGUAAACCUUUGUUGCCCUUGACCAAGG
RNAcentral lists this ribosomal RNA (413 nucleotides) under Actinomyces sp. 13-679. Its description in RNAcentral is "bacterial SSU rRNA". It matches the Rfam family "Bacterial small subunit ribosomal RNA", at positions 55 to 451 of the family's 1533-position model. Lineage: Bacteria; Bacillati; Actinomycetota; Actinomycetes; Actinomycetales; Actinomycetaceae. The record is from RNAcentral.